RNAcentral lists this ribosomal RNA (62 nucleotides) under Lespedeza patens. Its description in RNAcentral is "partial 26S ribosomal RNA". It matches the Rfam family "Eukaryotic large subunit ribosomal RNA", at positions 1 to 61 of the family's 3401-position model. The record is from RNAcentral. Lineage: Eukaryota; Viridiplantae; Streptophyta; Magnoliopsida; Fabales; Fabaceae.
GAGACCUUAGGUUAGGCGGGCCUACCCGUUGAGUUUAAGCAUAUCAAUAAGCGGAGGAAAAG